UACAGAGGUCCCAAGCGUUGUUCGGAUUCAUUGGGCGUAAAGGGUGCGUAGGCGGCGCGGUAAGUCGGGUGUGAAAUCUCGGGGCUUAACUCCGAAACUGCAUUCGAUACUGCCGUGCUUGAGGACUGGAGAGGAGACUGGGAUUUACGGUGUAGCGGUGAAAUGCGUAGAUAUCGUAAGGAAGACCAGUGGCGAAGGCGGGUCUCUGGACAGUUCCUGACGCUGAGGCACGAAGGUCAGGGGAGCAAACGGG
This 253-nucleotide ribosomal RNA is filed under the name uncultured bacterium. RNAcentral describes it as "partial 16S ribosomal RNA". It matches the Rfam family "Bacterial small subunit ribosomal RNA", at positions 524 to 776 of the family's 1533-position model. The record is from RNAcentral.